Molecule: long non-coding RNA, 637 nt
Organism: Lathyrus oleraceus (garden pea)
Lineage: Eukaryota; Viridiplantae; Streptophyta; Magnoliopsida; Fabales; Fabaceae
Exons: 3
Source: RefSeq, a predicted model, not a curated record
GUAUGAUCAAACACUUUUUGAGGAUGAAAGCAAGAACAGACUGAUGGAAACUAAGGAGCUUUUUGAAUGGAUCCUGAAGCAACCAUGUUUUGAGAAAACGUCCUUCAUGUUAUUUUUAAACAAGUUUGACAUAUUUGAGAAGAAGAUCCUGAAUGUUCCGCUCAACGUAUGUGAAUCAGAUUUUGGGUAUACUAGAGGCCAGGUAUACAACAGUAUAUAAUCAAUUUAUUGAUUUGUAUCAAGUAAAUGAUGUUGAAUGGGUGGAUAGAGAAAGACCUUUGGGUAUACUAGAGGCCAGAUAUACAACAGUAUAUAAUCAAUUUAUUGAUUUGUAUCAAGUAAAUGAUGUUGAAUGGGUGGAUAGAGAAAGACCUUUACGAGUUCAUGAUCAACGCAAAUUAGUUGCGCUGAAAUUUUCAGAGAUGAUAUAAUCUAUGAUGCACAUUUACAGAUUGAAACUCACUAAUUAUAUGUCAUAUUUUGUAUCCAAUGCUGGUCUUUAAGUAAGGUUCAAGUUUGAAUCUUAUGAAUGGAAAGCAUAGUCACUGAGAGCCAAGAAAUGAGGUUUCACAGAUGUAAUUGUGUGUGUGAGUCUGUGUUUUUGCUUGUAGUUAAUUUGAAGAUUCUUAUGUUAGCU